Rattus norvegicus (Norway rat) is the source of this 1890-nucleotide non-coding RNA. The record is from RefSeq and is a predicted model, not a curated record. NCBI's taxonomy places the organism in Eukaryota, Metazoa, Chordata, Mammalia, Rodentia, Muridae.
AAAAAAAUUCAGCUGGUUUUUUCAUUAACGGACUGGCCAGUGGUCUGUUGUCUUGUAUUCUUGUCUAUGAGUAGUCUUAGUUGAUAUGAUCUAUGGUUUCCCGUGUUCCUGGAAACUGGAACUAGAAGCUAGAAAAGAUUGCGGUUAAACAGAAACAAGAGCACUUCAGAGGGGCCGCGAUGGCUACACACUUCAUCACCUUCCUAGGUGGGAUCAUCUUAGGUAUCUGACGUUUGAAUCCUAAGAUGGUGGUGGCGAAAGCUUGGAAAAACAGUUGGGACAGGGCAAAUCUGUGGUUCCCCAGCAAAGCUCUACCUAAUGGCUCCAUCCAUAGUCCUUGCUCGACCUGUUUGGUAGUUUCAUGACUUGCUCAGCCAGAGGUUAAGUCUCAACUGUCCCCCUACCCAGAGACAAGAUAAAGGACCCAUUCCUUAUUUGCAGUGGUAGACUUGGAGUGUAUUGAGUUGUGAAGUUACCAAAGCAGGAUAUCCCCCACACGGACCUGCUCAAACAACAGAAAUUCAUUUUUUUCCCCCUCAUGACCCUGGAAGAUCUGAGUCCAAGGUCCAGGGCUGGCAGGGCUGGUGUUUUAGGAAAAUUCUUCAUGGCUGCGGUAGCUGGCAUCUCAUGGUGUCAUGGUGUCCUUACAUGGCCUCUCUCCGUGAUCACACUCUUGAUAAUUGCUUCCUCCUCUGGGAAGUUCUCAUGACCUGUAGCAUUGCAAGGUCACCCCCUUUAUGAUUUCAUUUCCUCAUCAUUGUGUCUUCCAAGACCCUUCCCACCACAGCCAUAUAGAGGUUAAGGUCCCAACCUGUGAAACUGGCGAAUUCUGGGACACAAUUGUCUCCAUUGCACAAAUGUUUGUGUGUACUUGUGUGUACAUCUCUUUAUUUAUUUAAUUUUAUUUAUACAAGUACACUGUAGCUGUCUUUAGACACACCAGAAAAGGGCAUCAGAUCCCAUUACAGAUGGUUGUGAGCCAUCAUGUGGUUGCUGGGACUUGAACUCAGGACCUCUGGAAGAGUAGUCAGUGCUCUUAACCACUGAGCCACCUCUCCAGCCCAAACAUCUCUUUAAUAAGAGCAAAUGAGACCCUCACUCCCUCUCCAUGUGUCUCCUACCAACCUGUGGAGCUCAUUUCUAAUUGAUUCAAUGCUUAAUUGUGUGUUCAAAUAGUCCCACAUUUGGUCAAUCUUUUGAGAUGUUUUAUGUCUCCAUAGUGUCUUUGCUAGCUCCCUGGCUUUUUGGCACCCGCUACCCACACUGCCCCCUGUGCCUCCCCCACCCCAGAGCCAAAGGAAUGACAUCUCUUCAGGGCUGGGCUACAAUCUGGAGACAUACAGACUCCUGUGCUCAGCAGGUCAGUAGAACCAGGGCUUCCUAUAAUCACAGCUGAUGUUAGCAUUCCCACUUUUGAUUUAAGGAGGAGCCCGUUCUCUUUCGCCUUGGCUUUGUGUUUAUAGCUUGUCUCUUACCCUUUAACUCUUGUUUGUGUUUAGGUUUGCUUGUUUUCUUCUGUGUGUAUUGUGAUGGUUUCUAUGCUUGGCCCAGGGAAUGGCACUAUUAGGAGGUGUGGCUUUGUUGAAGUAAGUGUGUCACUGUGGGUGUAGACUUUAAGACCCUCCUCCUAGCUGCCUGGAAGCCAGUAUUCUGCUAACAGCCUUCGGAUGAAGAUGUAGAACUCUCAGCUCCUCCUGCACCAUGCCUGCCUGGAUGCUGCUAUGUUCCUGCCUUGAUGAUAAUGGACUGAACCUCUGAACCUGUCCCAUUGAAUCAACUGGAGCAUUUUGGCAACAACUUACCAUCUUAAUGUUUUUAGAAUCUUGGCCAAUCCCCUGGUUUCAUUGGAACAUGGUGUUAAUGAAAGAAAGAUUGCAGUUUGCACAGCCA